This 718-nucleotide ribosomal RNA is filed under the name Titanolabris littorea. RNAcentral describes it as "bacterial SSU rRNA". It matches the Rfam family "Eukaryotic small subunit ribosomal RNA", at positions 91 to 915 of the family's 1831-position model. Lineage: Eukaryota; Metazoa; Arthropoda; Insecta; Dermaptera; Anisolabididae. The record is from RNAcentral.
AAAUGGCUCAUUAAAUCAGUUAUGGUUCAUUAGAUGACACUCAAUUUACUUGGAUAACUGUGGUAAUUCUAGAGCUAAUACAUGCAUACNGAGUUCCCACCGGAGACGGCAGGAACGCUUUUAUUAGAUCAAAACCAAUACGUUCGUUUCGGCGAACGAUACCAUUGGUGACUCUGAAUAACCUUAUGAUGAUCGCAUGGUCUUUGUACCGGCGACAAUUCUUUCAAAUGUCUGACUUAUCAACUCGAUGGUAGGCUCUGCGCCUACCAUGGUCGUAACGGGUGACGGGGAAUGGGUUCGAUUCCNNGGAGAGGGAGCCUGAGAGCGUAUAUUAAAGUUGUUGCGGUUAAAAAGCNUCGUAGUUGGGACUGUGUCCCGCACUGUCGGUGCGCCAUUUAUGGUGUUUACUGACAUGCUGUGGGACGUCCUGCCGGUGGGAUUGUUACCAUCGUUUGUACGUUUGUUUUUUUAAAACUUUCGUAUGACGGUUAAGUAACAUUCUCUUGUCACCCAUCGCGGUGCUCUUUACUGAGUGUCGCGGCGGGCCGGCACGUUUACUUUGAACAAAUUAGAGUGCUAAAAGCAGGCAUCACGCCUGAAUAUUGUGUGCAUGGAAUAAUAGAAUAGGACCUCGGUUCUAUUUUGUUGGUUUUCUGGACCAGAGGUAAUGAUUAAGAGGAACGGACGGGGGCAUUCGUAUUGAGACGUUAGAGGGAAA